RNAcentral lists this ribosomal RNA (253 nucleotides) under uncultured bacterium. Its description in RNAcentral is "partial 16S ribosomal RNA". It matches the Rfam family "Bacterial small subunit ribosomal RNA", at positions 524 to 776 of the family's 1533-position model. The record is from RNAcentral.
UACGAAGGGGGCUAGCGUUGCUCGGAACGACUGGGCGUAAAGGGCGCGUAGGCGGUUCGUACAGUCAGACGUGAAAUUCCCGGGCUCAACCUGGGGGCUGCGUUUGAUACGUGCGGGCUUGAGUUCGGAAGAGGGUCGUGGAAUUCCCAGUGUAGAGGUGAAAUUCGUAGAUAUUGGGAAGAACACCGGUGGCGAAGGCGGCGACCUGGUCCGAUACUGACGCUGAGGCGCGAAAGCGUGGGGAGCAAACAGG